RNAcentral lists this ribosomal RNA (428 nucleotides) under Verrucomicrobiota bacterium. Its description in RNAcentral is "Verrucomicrobia bacterium partial 16S ribosomal RNA". It matches the Rfam family "Bacterial small subunit ribosomal RNA", at positions 355 to 776 of the family's 1533-position model. The record is from RNAcentral. Lineage: Bacteria; Pseudomonadati; Verrucomicrobiota.
UAGGGAAUCUUCCGCAAUGGACGAAAGUCUGACGGAGCAACGCCGCGUGAGUGAAGAAGGAUUUCGGUUCGUAAAACUCUGUUGUUAGGGAAGAAAAAAUGUAUAGUAACUAUAUACAAAAGAGACGGUACCUAACCAGAAAGCCACGGCUAACUACGUGCCAGCAGCCGCGGUAAUACGUAGGUGGCAAGCGUUGUCCGGAAUUAUUGGGCGUAAAGCGCGCGCAGGUGGUUUAGAAAGUCUGAUGUGAAAGCCACGGCUCAACCGUGGAGGGUCAUUGGAAACUAAUAAACUUGAGUGCAGGAGAGAAAAGUGGAAUUCCUAGUGUAGCGGUGAAAUGCGUAGAGAUUAGGAGGAACACCGGUGGCGAAAGCGGCUUUUUGGCCUGCAACUGACACUGAGGCGCGAAAGCGUGGGGAGCAAACAGG